This 64-nucleotide transfer RNA is filed under the name Metacrangonyx sp. 1 MDMBR-2012. Its description in RNAcentral is "transfer RNA Lysine". Lineage: Eukaryota; Metazoa; Arthropoda; Malacostraca; Amphipoda; Metacrangonyctidae. The record is from RNAcentral.
CAUAAGAUGGCUGAAAUAGUGUAAAUUUUUUAAAUUUAUCAUAGUAAAUAUUUACUUCUUAUGG